This 527-nucleotide small RNA is filed under the name Histoplasma capsulatum. Its description in RNAcentral is "hypothetical RNA". The record is from RNAcentral. Lineage: Eukaryota; Fungi; Ascomycota; Eurotiomycetes; Onygenales; Ajellomycetaceae. RNAcentral also lists the same sequence under 1 other name.
UGUCCUAUUGACUAGCGGGGAGAUCCAUGUUCCAUGUUCCAAGUCCAGCCGUCCCAAGGUAGCUUUCGUGCAGCCGGCCACACGGGCGACCCACUCCAAUUAGCCUUAAGGCGCUCCCAGAGUGUCCGCAAGUCAUGUUAAAAAUCAAAUGGGGCUCAUUCUCUCACUUAACAACACAUCUCAUCCCUCGUUCAAACACCAACAUCGCACCACCAAAGAUCGAAGGAAGAACAUCUGAAGAGGGAAGUGGGGAGGUGGGAUGAAGGUUCUAGUCCAUCAAUCCUAAAACCCCCCUCAUUCAAGAAGCUCAUACAGAUCCUGUCGUGAUGAUGUUUCCAAGGGAUGUGUGUUAAAAAACACGUAGAUGAGUAAAUAUCAUCAGGCUCUCUUCCUUUCUCAAUACAUGAAAAGCAAAGUCAAAGCUACUCAGAACUCUCAUGGUUUGCACAGAGCUGCAAUGCAUACUUAGCUUAAGCAUUGUCAACUAAUACUAGAUCUUACCCAAUCGUCCGAGCAGCAGUCAGGGA